UUUUAAAUGGCCGCAGUAUUUUGACUGUGCAAAGGUAGCAUAAUCAUUAGUUUUUUAAUUAAAAGCUUGUAUGAAAGGCUGGACGAGGUAAAAUCUGUCUCUAUUUAAAUUAUAGUAGAAUUUAACUUUUAAGUUAAAAGGCUUAAAUGUUAUUAAAAGACGAGAAGACCCUAUAGAUCUUUAUAAUUUAUUAAAUUAAAUUAAUUUAGAAAUAUUAAUGUUUUAUUUAAUUAAGUUAUUUUAUUGGGGUAAUAAAAAGAUUGAAUUAAUUCUUUUUUAUAAUAAACAUUAAUUUAUGAAUAUUAAUGAUCCAGUUUUACUGAUUAUAAGAUUAAGUUACCUUAGGGAUAACAGCGUAAUUUUUUUAGAGAGUUCAUAUCGAUAAAAAAGUUUGCGACCUCGAUGUUGGAUUAAAGAUUAUUUUAGGUGCAGAAGCUUAAUAAUUUUGGUCUGUUCGACCAUUAAAUCUUUACAUGAUCUGAGUUCAGACCGGCGUAAGCCAGGUCGGUUUCUAUCUUUAAUAAAAUAAAAUAUUUUAGUACGAAAGGACCAAAUAUUUAAUAUAUUUAUAUUUAAUUUAUUGAAUAUUA
Molecule: ribosomal RNA, 590 nt
Filed under: Carabus lusitanicus brevis
Lineage: Eukaryota; Metazoa; Arthropoda; Insecta; Coleoptera; Carabidae
Description: partial large subunit ribosomal RNA
Rfam family: Bacterial large subunit ribosomal RNA
Source: RNAcentral